Molecule: ribosomal RNA, 525 nt
Filed under: Salmonella enterica subsp. enterica
Lineage: Bacteria; Pseudomonadati; Pseudomonadota; Gammaproteobacteria; Enterobacterales; Enterobacteriaceae
Also listed under: 1 other name
Description: partial 23S ribosomal RNA
Rfam family: Bacterial large subunit ribosomal RNA
Source: RNAcentral
UUGUGAGGUUAAGCGACUAAGCGUACACGGUGGAUGCCCUGGCAGUCAGAGGCGAUGAAGGGCGUACUAAUCUGCGAUAAGCGCCGGUAAGGUGAUAUGAACCGUUAUAACCGGCGAUACCCGAAUGGGGAAACCCAGUGUGAUUCGUCACACUAUCAUUAACUGAAUCCAUAGGUUAAUGAGGCGAACCGGGGGAACUGAAACAUCUAAGUACCCCGAGGAAAAGAAAUCAACCGAGAUUCCCCCAGUAGCGGCGAGCGAACGGGGAGGAGCCCAGAGCCUGAAUCAGCAUGUGUGUUAGUGGAAGCGUCUGGAAAGGCGCGCGAUACAGGGUGACAGCCCCGUACACAAAAGCGCAUGUGCUGUGAGCUCGAUGAGUAGGGCGGGACACGUGGUAUCCUGUCUGAAUAUGGGGGGACCAUCCUCCAAGGCUAAAUACUCCUGACUGACCGAUAGUGAACCAGUACCGUGAGGGAAAGGCGAAAAGAACCCCGGCGAGGGGAGUGAAAAAGAACCUGAAACCGU